GAGAAUAUUGUUUAADGGDAAAACAGUUGUCUUUUAAGCAACCCAUGCUUGGUUCAACUCCAGCUAUUCUCACCA
RNAcentral lists this transfer RNA (75 nucleotides) under Saccharomyces cerevisiae (brewer's yeast). RNAcentral describes it as "tRNA-Lys". It matches the Rfam family "tRNA". Rfam says of the family: Transfer RNA (tRNA) molecules are approximately 80 nucleotides in length. The record is from RNAcentral. Lineage: Eukaryota; Fungi; Ascomycota; Saccharomycetes; Saccharomycetales; Saccharomycetaceae.